UACAGAGGUGGCAAGCGUUGUUCGGAAUUACUGGGCGUAAAGAGCUCGUAGGUGGUUUGUCGCGUUGUUCGUGAAAACCUGAGGCUUAACCUUGGGCGUGCGGGCGAUACGGGCAGACUGGAGUACUGCAGGGGAGACUGGAAUUCCUGGUGGAGCGGUGAAAUGCGUAGAUAUCAAGAGGAACACCGGUGGCGAAGGCGGCUCUCUGGUCCAAACCUGACGCUGAGGAGCGAAAGCUAGGGGAGCAAACGGG
Molecule: ribosomal RNA, 253 nt
Filed under: uncultured bacterium
Lineage: Bacteria
Description: partial 16S ribosomal RNA
Rfam family: Bacterial small subunit ribosomal RNA
Source: RNAcentral